Molecule: unclassified non-coding RNA, 456 nt
Filed under: Hevea brasiliensis (rubber tree)
Lineage: Eukaryota; Viridiplantae; Streptophyta; Magnoliopsida; Malpighiales; Euphorbiaceae
Source: RNAcentral
UGUAUAUUCAGUUUUUUUUUAGGGUUCAGUAAACUAGGGUUUGAACUUUUGAAUCAAACGGAUAUGUCGAAGAGAAAAUUUGGAUUCGAAGGAUUUGGCAUUAAUCGGCAAACAACGUACAACUUCGAGCGAAAUCAAGCUCCUCAGCGACUGUAUGUUCCGCCAUCCUCACGUUCUGGAGGUAGCCAUGACAAUUACGAAGAUACCGACUUAGAUAACAUUGAGUACGAUGAACACGACGCUGUCGGAGGGAACAACAAUGAUGGAGGCGGAGGAGGUGGUGAAGAUGAUGAAAUUGAUCCACUUGAUGCGUUUAUGGAAGGGAUUCAUCAAGAAAUGAAGGCUGCACCGCCUCCUAAGCCAAAAGAGAAGUUGGAUAAGUAUAAAGAUGAUGUAGAUGAUGAUCCGAUGGAGAGUUUUCUGAGAGCGAAGAAGGAUGUAGGUUUACAAUUGGCG